RNAcentral lists this ribosomal RNA (515 nucleotides) under Arthrobacter subterraneus. RNAcentral's name for it is "bacterial SSU rRNA". It matches the Rfam family "Bacterial small subunit ribosomal RNA", at positions 380 to 905 of the family's 1533-position model. The record is from RNAcentral. Lineage: Bacteria; Bacillati; Actinomycetota; Actinomycetes; Micrococcales; Micrococcaceae.
AGCCUGAUGCAGCGACGCCGCGUGAGGGAUGAAGGCCUUCGGGUUGUAAACCUCCUUUAGUAGGGAAGAAGCGAAAGUGACGGUACCUGCAGAAGAAGCGCCGGCUAACUACGUGCCAGCAGCCGCGGUAAUACGUAGGGCGCAAGCGUUAUCCGGAAUUAUUGGGCGUAAAGAGCUCGUAGGCGGUUUGUCGCGUCUGCCGUGAAAGUCCGGGGCUUAACUCCGGAUCUGCGGUGGGUACGGGCAGACUUGAGUGAUGUAGGGGAGACUGGAAUUCCUGGUGUAGCGGUGAAAUGCGCAGAUAUCAGGAGGAACACCGAUGGCGAAGGCAGGUCUCUGGGCAUUAACUGACGCUGAGGAGCGAAAGCAUGGGGAGCGAACAGGAUUAGAUACCCUGGUAGUCCAUGCCGUAAACGUUGGGCACUAGGUGUGGGGGACAUUCCACGUUUUCCGCGCCGUAGCUAACGCAUUAAGUGCCCCGCCUGGGGAGUACGGCCGCAAGGCUAAAACUCAAA